RNAcentral lists this long non-coding RNA (585 nucleotides) under Brassica napus (rape). Its description in RNAcentral is "long non-coding RNA (BNAP_LNC014874)". Lineage: Eukaryota; Viridiplantae; Streptophyta; Magnoliopsida; Brassicales; Brassicaceae. The record is from RNAcentral.
GUUGAAUAUCCUUUAGUGUCGGAAAGAUAUCCACUAUUAUAUUUUGCAACUCGUAAUAUCUAUUUUAUCGUAAGAUUUCAAGUAUGCAUGCAUCAUCUCUUUAUCGGUGUCUCGUUGUAACGUUCUGCUUUUAUUUAUGAAGGGGAUGUAAGUUCUUAAUGAUGUAAUUAAGUUAGGUCUUGUUGUCAUAUACUAUAUGUGAUUCAUUGAAUUUAGUUAGGUAAAUAAGCAAUGUGUUGGUAACCUGUCAAUUGGUUAAUACCCGAAAUGCCAAACACGAGCUGCUUACGGAAACAUCAUACGGAAACAUCAUGUCCCUCAAUAAUCACGCAACAAAAUGUAUCAUGUAAAACGCAGAAAUUAGCAUUGCUUUUAACUAUUACUAAUAUUUUGCAAAAAUAUAUGGGCAUAGAAAGAAGAUACUAUCGUAACGAUUAGAUUUUUUUUUUAUGACAACAGCGAUUAGAAUUUAGAAAACACUAAAACCAAAGAAAAAUAAAUAUUGGACCAACUGUCCCACUAGGAACACACUAUUAUAUGAUAUAUCCACCACACGAAAUACUUUUUUUUUGUAAAACACCACAC